This 465-nucleotide ribosomal RNA is filed under the name uncultured bacterium. RNAcentral's name for it is "partial 16S ribosomal RNA". It matches the Rfam family "Bacterial small subunit ribosomal RNA", at positions 338 to 795 of the family's 1533-position model. The record is from RNAcentral.
CCUACGGGAGGCAGCAGUGGGGAAUAUUGCGCAAUGGGCGAAAGCCUGACGCAGCGACGCCGCGUGAGGGAUGAAGGUCUUAGGAUCGUAAACCUCUGUCAGCAGGGAAGAAAGGUCACUGUGCUAAUCAGCAGUGAAUUGACGGUACCUGCAAAGGUAGCACCGGCUAACUCCGUGCCCGCAGCCGCGGUAAUACGGAGGGUGCGAGCGUUAAUCGGAAUUACUGGGCGUAAGGCGCUCGUAGGCGGUAUGUCAAGUCAAGGGUGAAAUCCCGGCGCUCAACGUGGGAACUGCCUUUGACACUGGCAAACUGGAGUGUGGGAGAGGAUAGUGGAAUUCCAGGUGUAGGAGUGAAAUCCGUAGAUAUCUGGAGGAACAUCAGUGGCGAAGGCGACUAUCUGGCACAUAACUGACGCUGAGGAGCGAAAGCGUGGGGAGCAAACAGGAUUAGAUACCCGUGUAGUC